RNAcentral lists this long non-coding RNA (2102 nucleotides) under Hermetia illucens (black soldier fly). RNAcentral describes it as "uncharacterized LOC119650630, transcript variant X2". Lineage: Eukaryota; Metazoa; Arthropoda; Insecta; Diptera; Stratiomyidae. The record is from RNAcentral.
UCUCGGCGAUAUGCUGCACGGUUUGCAAAUUUUAUAGCGGCUAACUCAGCAAUUGGGGCCGAGACGGGUUGGUGACCGUACUGUGUUCCAAUGUGGUUUGGAUUUUGGUUGACCCGGUCGAUGUUCGGUCAGGUUUGAUCUGAUGAAAGAUGUUUCCUAAGGCUCUGAAACAGUGCAAACAUCCAUUCCCAGUUGCAAGGUUUGAAUAGAUAUUCCCAAAACUUUCCUGAUGUAUGGUUUUAUUUUGUUGAUUUCCUCUGCAAUUAGAAUCAUUCUUUGGUGUUUGGGGGAGGUUCGCUCGUAAUAGCGAAGAUGGUAUGCGUCCGGGUGGAACUAGCGAGCUAGGGAGGUUGUAAAGCUUCUUGUUUAUAUUGCCUUGACUAUUGACAGUGGAAGCUUUUGUUGGCGUGGAGUCUACUUCUAAUACCGGACACUGCCCGUAGAUCUCUGGCUGCAGUUGAUACAUUUUUUAAGAUAUCAUCAAAAUGAAGUUUAAAAAGCUGGUUAUCGUUCUGCCAAGGAAUUUAAUAUGGGGGCUGGACCUGUUGAGGUUGAUAGUGAGCUAAUCUAUUACAUAGGCGGGCAAAUUGAUUGGCCUUCCAAUGGAGACUGCUGGCUGACAAUUCUAAGUUUUCUUGCUGUUUCCGUAGUUAUGUGUACCAGAAGUUCGUUGAGAUAUGUAUUGUAGUUUAUGCUUUCUAUACGCAUAGGAUAUUGCUAUUGGCAAACAUUCCAAAUCUUCUAGGAAAUUUUAAAGCGGAUCUUUAACCAUUGCAUUGAGCGUUUUGGCGAAAACAGAUCGGAACUGCACGGAUGCCGCUCACUCAAACUCCACCCACCCCUGGAGAGAUGUGGAAAUGUGUUUGGAAAGUGCUUUCAUCAGAUCUGCAAGUAAAAAAGGUUGGAGUACACCAGUCAUAAUUGGUUCAGGCGGAGGCAGCCGCGACGGUGAAUGGUAUUGAGUAAUCAUUCCAAGAGAGGAGUUUCCUGCGAGGAGUAUGUUUGAUGAAGUUGCAGAAUUCUGAAAGAUGUAAGGGUUGGGUUAUUUUCUCAAUUCCGUUCCAAUUCAGAGUUAACAACGAAUUCCCACAGACUCAGCAAAUAUCAUCUGCAAGCGAAUGCAUGAGAACGCAACUAUGUGCUGACGAAGCAGGAAGGCUGAACCAACUUUUCCACAAAUUAGGAAUGCUAGUGCACCGUUAUUAUCACAUAAAUAGAAUCAGCACUUGUAAUGUAAUGUAGUAUGUUUUUACUUUUUGAUUGUGAUGGAGAACUUCUGCCCGGUCGAAUAGUAAAUGUUUUUUUUUUUAAAUAUUAAAUGUUAUUUACUUAACUGGCCCUCAACGUGGGGCUGCACUCGUGCUCGCGAAUUCAUUGGGUGGAUCCUUUUGUAAAAAUUGGUGGACCUCGGCGCAAAACCGGGAUGUCUGGAGUUUCUUAUUAAGGCAGGCCUAGACCGUGCAUCUAUCGUAUAUUAUCGUGUACUUUCCCUCGAAAUGAUAUUGUAUCUAAUACAUUCGGAAUGAUUUCCCUGCCUCCGGAACCUAACAAUUAUGGAGAAAACCAAAACGCUCCCAUUGCAGGUGUAGGAGAUGCAACCAUUUCACUUAACGAGCUGACAGAAGUUAUUAAUCGCAAUGUGUCUCAAUCUCUCCAAACACAGGGGAGGCAUUUUUAAUAUAAUAACUUAUUAAACUCCGCAUCCAACAUAAAUAAUGAAACGAGCAUAGGCAUAAAAGCUGUCCGCAACAGGAAUUUAUCAGAAGUGGAUAAGUUUCCGGACGUCGUGAGAAGCCUGAGGGACUUCGCGGGCAACCCUGUUGAAUUUAGCUCAUGGAAGAACAGUGUCGAUAGAAUACUCAAGAUCUAUGCAGAUCAUAUAAUACACUCCUUAACUGGGAAAAAAAUUCCAAGUGCCUAACACGCGGGCAAGAGGGAUCUUGGUAUCCUUGAGUACCAAAUGACAACCCUUAUUAAGGAAAUAGCAGCGUUCAUGAGUUUUACCAAACUGUGUACCAUCAUUUAUCCGUCAUACUAAACAAAUUAUCCUCGACCAGUAUGGGUCAACAGUCAUUGAAUAAUAUGACUCAUUGUUAAGAUAA